GGAGUUAGCCGGUGCUUCUUCUGUGAGUGAUGUCCUUCCUGCCGGUUAUUGACCCGCAGGCCUUCUUCCUCACUGAAAGUGCUUUACAACCCGAAGGCCUUCUUCACACACGCGGCAUGGCUGGAUCAGGGUUGCCCCCAUUGUCCAAUAUUCCCCACUGCUGCCUCCCGUAGGAGUCUGGGCCGUGUCUCAGUCCCAGUGUGGCUGAUCAUCCUCUCAGACCAGCUACGGAUCGUCGCCUUGGUGAGCCGUUACCUCACCAACCAGCUAAUCCGACAUAGGCUCAUCCGAUAGCGCGAGGCCCGAAGGUCCCCCGCUUUCCCCCGUAGGGCGUAUGCGGUAUUAGCCUGGGUUUCCCCAGGUUAUCCCCCACUACCGGGCAGAUUCCUAUGCAUUACUCACCCGUCCGCCGCUCGCCACCAGGGAGCAAGCUCCCCGUGCUGCCGCUCGACUUGCAUGUGUAGCUCGCCGCCACGCGUCAUCUGAGCGAGAAUACGAACCGUACGA
This 507-nucleotide ribosomal RNA is filed under the name uncultured bacterium. RNAcentral describes it as "partial 16S ribosomal RNA". The record is from RNAcentral.